UUUUUCUGUUCUUUUUUUCUUUUUUUCUCUUUUUUCUUUUUUUUCUUUUUUUUAU
Molecule: non-coding RNA, 55 nt
Filed under: Chroomonas cf. mesostigmatica
Lineage: Eukaryota; Cryptophyceae; Pyrenomonadales; Chroomonadaceae
Source: RNAcentral